GGAUGAUAUAAUGCAAGCACAAUUUUUAUUUGUUUCUACUAAUAUGAAAGAAAAUUUCUACUAACAGAUAUGUACUACAACUGUGUAAUGCUAGAAUAAAGACUAAUCAGUUUUGAUACUCUAUUUAGAUUUUUCUUUUGGUUUUCUGGGUUGUAAUCACAAUGUUCAUACAUACUGAAUCUUGAUUAGAUUUUCCAAUGUUUUGGUAAGCCUUUUGUUCUGGAUCUUGAUUGUUUUGUAGUGGUACUGGUUAUUAGGCACUUCUACCAACUACACAUUUUUUUCCCAUUUUAAUAUGUGGGCAUGCCACAAUGGAGCUGGGUUUAUUAGUAGGUAUCUACUUCUACAACUUUUCGCUGGAAUAUUGUUGAUUGACAUUGCCACGUGUAUCUUACAGCUAAUCGGGAUUUUUUUUACGCUUGUCGUGUCAUGUCUUUGCUCAUUGUCUAUAUAUUUGUAACUCCUCGCUACAUAUAAUCCAAACUGUACCGGCUAAAGUGACUUUGAUAGUGUGCCUUUUUGCUAUGCUAUUUGUUAAUAUGUAGACCAACUGGGCCCUAAUUAUGCAAAAGUGCUACUCCUGGUGCCUGGUACAUUAGAGACUGGCAAAACGUGUUCGUUCAUCUCGCAAGAUACAUGCCUGGCCAAAAUGAGAAGUGGUAUCUAGGUAAGCUGCAGCCAAUACCAUCUUUGACUUCAUAUAUCAGUACAUAUUGGAUCAUAAGGUUUAGGUAACCAAACAUGGACUGCAUGGCUUUUUAUUUGAAUCCACAAUGAUGUGGACA
Lolium perenne is the source of this 785-nucleotide long non-coding RNA. RefSeq lists it as uncharacterized. NCBI's taxonomy places the organism in Eukaryota, Viridiplantae, Streptophyta, Magnoliopsida, Poales, Poaceae. The record is from RefSeq and is a predicted model, not a curated record.